This 87-nucleotide transfer RNA is filed under the name Gammaproteobacteria bacterium HGW-Gammaproteobacteria-8. RNAcentral describes it as "tRNA-Leu". It matches the Rfam family "tRNA". Rfam says of the family: Transfer RNA (tRNA) molecules are approximately 80 nucleotides in length. Lineage: Bacteria; Pseudomonadati; Pseudomonadota; Gammaproteobacteria. The record is from RNAcentral.
GCCCGGAUGGUGAAACUGGUAGACACAGGGGACUUAAAAUCCCCCGGCCGCAAGGCCAUGCCGGUUCGAAUCCGGCUCCGGGCACCA